AACGAACGCUGGCGGCAUGCCUAACACAUGCAAGUCGAACGAGACCUUCGGGUCUAGUGGCGCACGGGUGCGUAACGCGUGGGAAUCUGCCCUAGGGUGCGGAAUAACUCGGAGAAAUCCGUGCUAAUACCGCAUAAUGUCUUCGGACCAAAGAUUUAUCGCCCUGGGAUGAGCCCGCGUAAGAUUAGCUAGUUGGUGGGGUAAAGGCCUACCAAGGCGACGAUCUUUAGCUGGUCUGAGAGGAUGAUCAGCCACACUGGGACUGAGACACGGCCCAGACUCCUACGGGAGGCAGCAGUGGGGAAUAUUGGACAAUGGGCGAAAGCCUGAUCCAGCAAUGCCGCGUGAGUGAUGAAGGCCUUAGGGUUGUAAAGCUCUUUUACCCGGGAUGAUAAUGACAGUACCGGGAGAAUAAGCUCCGGCUAACUCCGUGCCAGCAGCCGCGGUAA
This 449-nucleotide ribosomal RNA is filed under the name uncultured bacterium. RNAcentral describes it as "partial 16S ribosomal RNA". It matches the Rfam family "Bacterial small subunit ribosomal RNA", at positions 29 to 523 of the family's 1533-position model. The record is from RNAcentral.